GGAGUUCCGGUUCUGUUUCUACUAUUAAAGGGCCACGUGAACUCACUCCAUCUUAGUUCUCAACCCUAUUUUCAGGGCAGCAUGGAUUAUCCCCAUUGCGUGAGUCUAAACAGGAAUAGCAUACAGUCUUUAAAAUUUUUAAGGGCAGGCUUUUGUCUACAGGACGCCUUUGCAGAAGCGAGGUUUGAGUGAGGCUUCAGGUCCAUGGCGGGAGAGGAGACGCUGGAGAGGCCAGGCCGGCUGUUGGUCAUAGGGCUGAUAGGGCCCAACACACACCAGUGCUAACACCUGGCUGCAAGCACGGAACCAAAACUCAUCUCACACACUAAAACCCCCAGCAAGCUAGUACUGCUGUCUGGGCAAAGCUCUGCGGAGGCCGCUGGAAGAAAGGCGAGUUUCCCGGUAUUCCCGAAGCAGUGCCAGUGUUUGUGCAAAGCUCACGUUUCACUCCGGCUUGGGAUGGAAUGGAGUUUGUUUCCUCAACAGAGUCGAGUUGCCCUGGUUUUGAUGGGGUGAGGGCAUGUCGAUCGCUUCACGGGGUUGCCUUUCCUAAUUGCACACAGGCAAACACUCACUCUUCGAAGGGUGCUGUCACCCUCGCGGUGGCAGUGGCGGUGGCGGUGGCGGCGGGGAAAGUCUGCACCCUGGAGCGGGGACGCUGCCUCCGGCUGCAGCCCCCUUAGUCUUAGCCUUAUCGCGGCACACACCAGUUCCUAGAGAAGAGAUUCCGAGAAAAAACCCCGGGUUCCCUAGAAACAUUAAAUUAACACAAGGGAUCUGGAAACGAAACAGCAGAUGCCUGAAAGCCUUCCCCCUUGCUGGUUUCCUGCCUUCUCGGAAAAUCUUUGCGUUAAAAUAGAUUGGAUUACCCGACUCGGCCAGAUGCAGCUCUAGACCUGCUGAAAGUGCACAGGAAAGCAAGCCGUGUGCCAUCUUUUAGAAAGAUUUUUUUUUCUUUCCCAGGUGGUAGAAAACUGCCUUCGGGUUGUUGGUAUUAGCAAGGACUGGAGGCUGAGUUGCUUGAGUCCCGAUAGAAACUUUCCCCAACUCCGACUUGCAAAUCUGAUAACCCGAGAAUGCAACAGAGUAGGGUAAGCGCAAGACUUGCCUUAGUUCCGAGCCUAGGAAUAGGAUGCCUCGUCCCCUUUUUACUAAGAAGAAAAUGUCUGUUUUAUUCUGGAAUCUACCUUGACCAAAACUAUGAAACCAGAAUAAAGCUAACAGCAUUUCCUGGGAGUCACAGAGGUUGAAGGCAUUCUGUCAGGCUUCUCAUCAGAAUCUCAGAAAAUAACUAUCUCAGAAAGUAACAAACUAACCCCCCAGGAACCCUGUCUGCAUCAUCUCGUACUCUCUAAAUUCAAGCUACAACUGAUAACCACACAUCUGAAAAGCAGUCAGCCGUGGGCGCCUAAGUAUAUUCCAUUUCUGAGGCAUCUUCCACACACAAAUUAUUUUUGGUAGCUGAGAAUCAGAUGCAAAGCUUCCUAUGAGCCUUAAGAAUUUUAAAGAAGAAAUACAGUUUUGACUGUAGCUUCCUUCCUUGAUACAUUUCACUGGUUUCUUUUGGUAAUCCUUACAGAGGGGCUCAAGAUCCUUAGGCUCUGUUUUUAACACCGGCCCUUGUUUCUAGUGAAUCAGAUCAUAACCUGUAGUUAUAAAAGGAUUCUGUGCUUAGCCUGGGCUUGGGUGCUCUGGGUGGAGGAACACAUUUCAAAAUCCUCUAAACAAAAAGACAUGUCUUUGCCUACGCAUAAGAACAACAGAACCUAUUGUAAAACCCUCAGGCGGACAAAAUUACCUCCCCAGAAGCCGCUCUGGGUACUCCUGCAUAGAGUAUGGAGGAAAAGACAAAGGACAGUUUCAUAUGGACUUCCCCUCUUCCAACUUUACCGCAGGCCUCAAGAAAGGCAAGGAGGACUCUAAACUGUUUAUAAGAAAGCAAAGAAAAAUGUUGUAAGGAUUACUUGGCUAGCAGGCCACAGGCAAAGCUGGAAGCAGCAGACAGCAGCCGGCAGGCAGAGAGCCGCUUAAAACCGAAAGUCCAACUGCUUUGAGCAGGUAGACUCUCAUACAACAAAAUUAUCAGAGGAACAUCCCUCCGAGCAAAGAUGCUGCUUGCUUUGUAUCUCGCUGUUAGGAAAGGGAGCCCAGUCACACAAAACUGCUACAGUAAUCAUAAAUAGCCCAGCAAUGCUAGUCUGUGGCUGCUUUUUUGUAUUCUUUAAUGACAAGUGAAUUUCCAAAUGAUUAUGAGUGACCACAUGUGACAUUUUUCCAGUUGGGUCUUUCACCACAAAAGCAUGCCUGUCACUAAGACACAGUCUUAUAUGCUAAGAACAAACUGUAUAUUGCUCUCAUGUGUCACAGGAACAAAACUGAUGGCAAAAGGUCACCCGGACUCUUUUAAAAAUAUUUCAUAAUUUGAAAGUAAACCACAAUAUGGAAUCCUAUGGGAAAGCAACACAUCUAAUAAGCUCCUUCAAAAUUAAAAAAAGAAAAGAAUAUUAACAUCAAAGAAAAGUGCCAGCAGCUUAAAAGCCACAAUGUCUUUCCUGUGGCUGGAUGGGGCCUCAUUCCUGGGCGUUUAUCACACUUAACUGAAUUUUUUUUCAAGGAAGAAAACACUUAGAUAUUGAAAAGCAGUUAUUUCCCCUUGACCAUCUAAUUCCAACUCAUCAAAUUAAAUAUCUAGAAAUC
RNAcentral lists this long non-coding RNA (2697 nucleotides) under Mus musculus (house mouse). RNAcentral describes it as "long non-coding RNA chr10:95264316-95267013". Lineage: Eukaryota; Metazoa; Chordata; Mammalia; Rodentia; Muridae. The record is from RNAcentral.